Molecule: ribosomal RNA, 489 nt
Filed under: uncultured bacterium
Lineage: Bacteria
Description: bacterial SSU rRNA
Rfam family: Bacterial small subunit ribosomal RNA
Source: RNAcentral
GAUCCAGCCAUGCCGCGUGCAGGAUGACGGCCCUAUGGGUUGUAAACUGCUUUUAUACGGGAAGUAAAUGCGCCCACGUGUGGCGUCUGACGGUACCGUAAGAAUAAGGACCGGCUAACUCCGUGCCAGCAGCCGCGGUAAUACGGAGGGUCCGAGCGUUAUCCGGAAUCAUUGGGUUUAAAGGGUCCGUAGGCGGGCCUGUAAGUCAGGGGUGAAAGUUUGUGGCUCAACCAUAAAAUUGCCUUUGAUACUGCAGGUCUUGAGUCAUGGUGGGGUCGCCGGAACAUGUGGUGUAGCGGUGAAAUGCAUAGAUAUCACAUAGAACACCGAUCGCGAAGGCAGGUGGCCAACCAUGUACUGACGCUGAUGGACGAAAGCGUGGGUAGCGAACGGGAUUAGAUACCCCGGUAGUCCACGCCGUAAACGAUGGAUACUAGCUGUGGGGACUUCGGUCUCCGUGGCCAAGCGAAAGUGAUAAGUAUCCCACCU